UACGGGAGGCAGCAGUGGGGAAUAUUGCACAAUGGGCGAAAGCCUGAUGCAGCUAUGCCGCGUGUAUGAAGAAGGCCUUAGGGUUGUAAAGUACUUUCAUCGGGGAGGAAAAACAAAACUAAUAAUUUUAUUUCUUGACGUUACCCGAAAAAGAAGCACCGGCUAACUCCGUGCCAGCAGCCGCGGUAAUACGGAGGGUGCUAGCGUUAAUCAGAAUUACUGGGCGUAAAGAGCACGUAGGUGGUUUUUUUAAGUCAGAUGUGAAAUCCCUGGGCUUAACCUAGGAACUGCAUUUUGAAACUGAAAUACUAGAGUAUCGUAGAGGGAGGUAGAAUUCUAGGUGUAGCGGUGAAAUGCGUAGAUAUCUGGAGGAAUACCUGUGGCGAAAGCGGCCUCCUAAACGAAUACUGACACUGAGGUGCGAAAGCGUGGGGAGCAAACAGGGAUUAGAUCC
RNAcentral lists this ribosomal RNA (454 nucleotides) under uncultured bacterium. RNAcentral describes it as "bacterial SSU rRNA". It matches the Rfam family "Bacterial small subunit ribosomal RNA", at positions 340 to 785 of the family's 1533-position model. The record is from RNAcentral.